This 400-nucleotide ribosomal RNA is filed under the name uncultured bacterium. RNAcentral describes it as "bacterial SSU rRNA". It matches the Rfam family "Bacterial small subunit ribosomal RNA", at positions 355 to 748 of the family's 1533-position model. The record is from RNAcentral.
UGGGGAAUCUUGGACAAUGGGGGCAACCCUGAUCCAGCGAUGCCGCGUGAGUGAAGAAGGCCCUCGGGUCGUAAAGCUCUUUAGGCUGGGAAGAAGGAUGGUGUAGGAAAUGACAUCAUUUUGACUGUACCAGCAGAAUAAGCACCGGCAAACUCUGUGCCAGCAGCCGCGGUAAUACAGAGGGUGCAAGCGUUGAUCGGAGUUACUGGGCGUAAAGGGCGCGUAGGCGGUUAUAUGAGUGUGCUGUGAAAGCCCCGGGCUUAACCUGGGAAGUGCAGUGCAAACGAUAUAACUGGAGUAGAUGAGAGGGUGGUGGAAUUUCCGGUGUAGCGGUGAAAUGCGUAGAGAUCGGAAGGAACGUCAAUGGCGAAGGCAGCCACCUGGCAUCAUACUGACGCUG